AAGAGGUCCAGCCUGCCCAGUGACUAAGUUCAACGGCCGCGGUACCCUAACCGUGCGAAGGUAGCAUAAUCACUUGUUCUUUAAAUGGGGACUUGUAUCAACGGCACCACGAAGGCUGCACUGUCUCCUUUCUCCAAUCAGUGAAACUGAUCUCCCCGUGAAGAAGCGGGGAUUAAACUAUAAGACGAGAAGACCCCAUGGAGCUUCAAACUCACCAUACAACUCUGUUCCCUACAUCCCCUGAUUCAAGAGAUAUGUAUGUUAGUUUUGGGUUGGGGGGACCUCGGAGUACAACUUAACCUCCUAAACAAAUAGGUUAACACCUUUAUCCACGAGAAACACCUCUAAGAAUUAUUAAACUAAUGUUUUUGAUCCGAUAAUCGAUCAAUGAACCAAGUUACCCUGGGGAUAACAGCGCAAUCUACUUCAAGAGUUCCUAUCGACAAGUAGGUUUACGACCUCGAUGUUGGAUCAGGGUAUCCGAGUGGUGCAACCGCUACUAAUGGUUCGUUUGUUCAACGAUUAAAACCCU
RNAcentral lists this ribosomal RNA (532 nucleotides) under Lithobates palustris (pickerel frog). RNAcentral describes it as "partial 16S ribosomal RNA". It matches the Rfam family "Bacterial large subunit ribosomal RNA", at positions 1847 to 2597 of the family's 2925-position model. Lineage: Eukaryota; Metazoa; Chordata; Amphibia; Anura; Ranidae. The record is from RNAcentral.